RNAcentral lists this unclassified non-coding RNA (670 nucleotides) under Pseudanabaena sp. CALU 1773. RNAcentral's name for it is "partial contains 16S ribosomal RNA, 16S-23S ribosomal RNA intergenic spacer, and 23S ribosomal RNA". The stretch from base 1 to 121 matches the Rfam family "Bacterial small subunit ribosomal RNA", at positions 1416 to 1533 of the family's 1533-position model. The record is from RNAcentral. Lineage: Bacteria; Bacillati; Cyanobacteriota; Cyanophyceae; Pseudanabaenales; Pseudanabaenaceae.
GUCGUUAGACGAGUCGUUAUCUCACCCGUAAGGGAGGGAGGCGCCUAAGGCAGGGCUGGUGACUGGGGUGAAGUCGUAACAAGGUAGCCGUACCGGAAGGUGCGGCUGGAUCACCUCCUUAUAGGGAGACCUAUUUAAUUCUAGACUGAAACAAUACAGUAUUAAGUCAGAAUUAAGUCAUCCCAAGGUCGAACGAAGUUUAUUGGAAAGCUUUCAAACUAAGUCAGGUUCUGAAUUCAGCCAAAUAGUAAGCUAAGAAAUUAGCAAACUAGAAAAGGGCUAUUAGCUCAGUUGGUUAGAGCGCACGGCUGAUAACCGUGAGGUCUCUGGUUCAAGUCCAGAAUGGCCCACUUGAGAAUUCCAAGCAAGCCCGAAAGGAAAUUCGCGGAAAACUCUGGGGAUAUAGCUCAGUUGGUAGAGCGCCUGCUUUGCACGCAGGAAGUCAGGAGUUCGAAUCUCCUUAUCUCCACCAAACUACUAACAAAGACCAACGAAAGCGAAGCAAGAGUUUAGCAACUUAUCUAGUUAGAUGAAGAAUCAGACACUAGAAAGCCUGCUAAAUUCUAGCGAAAGCGAGAAUUUAGAAAGAACCUUGAAAACUGCAUAGUAAUAGUAAUAAGAAGCAAGUAGAUCCAAAGUAAAAUCUCCUUAAGAGGAGACACAGAGUCAG